GAUGAACGCUGGCGGCGUGCCUAAUACAUGCCAGUCGAGCGAACGGACGAGAAGCUUGCUUUUCUGAUGUUAGCGGCGGACGGGUGAGUAACACGUGGAUAACCUACCUAUAAGACUGGGAUAACUUCGGGAAACCGGAGCUAAUACCGGAUAAUAUUUUGAACCGCAUGGUUCAAAAGUGAAAGACGGUCUUGCUGUCACUUAUAGAUGGAUCCGCGCUGCAUUAGCUAGUUGGUAAGGUAACGGCUUACCAAGGCAACGAUGCAUAGCCGACCUGAGGGGGUGAUCGGCCACACUGGAACUGAGACACGGUCCAGACUCCUACGGGAGGCAGCAGUAGGGAAUCUUCCGCAAUGGGCGAAAGCCUGACGGAGCAACGCCGCGUGAGUGAUGAAGGUCUUCGGAUCGUAAAACUCUGUUAUUAGGGAAGAACAUAUGUGUAAGUAACUGUGCACAUCUUGACGGUACCUAAUCAGAAAGCCACGGCUAACUACGUG
This 497-nucleotide ribosomal RNA is filed under the name uncultured bacterium. RNAcentral's name for it is "partial 16S ribosomal RNA". It matches the Rfam family "Bacterial small subunit ribosomal RNA", at positions 28 to 507 of the family's 1533-position model. The record is from RNAcentral.